This 101-nucleotide microRNA precursor is filed under the name Myotis lucifugus (little brown bat). Its description in RNAcentral is "miRNA (ENSMLUG00000020707.1)". Lineage: Eukaryota; Metazoa; Chordata; Mammalia; Chiroptera; Vespertilionidae. The record is from RNAcentral.
GUGGAAUUGCUAGAUCAUAUGGUAAUUCCAGGUAAAAAUUUUUGAGGAACUGCCAUACUGUUUUGCACAGUAGCUGUACCAUUUACAUUCCUACCAGCAAU